GGAAGGUCGCCCGCACGCAGUGUCGCGGAGGCCUGGCCGGUAUGCUGGUCUGAGGGACCUCUUGGGUUACUGUUGCACGUGGAGGCGCCGCAGUGACAUUCCCGCCGCAGCCAAGUUUCAGUUACCCACCAUCAACCUGUCUGAAGAUAGUAAAUGGAAAAUUCCAGGAACAAACAAUUUAAAGGGAAGGCCUUACAUUGUUCUUUGGAGGAAGAGGAAAGAAAAGAUGCAGGCAGAGGGAUAAACGUGAGCAGUGGUGAACCAGAGAGAGGAGCAACCGCACAGGACAGGCUUAUAAGUUUUGAGAGGGACACCUUGCGAUCCGGGCCAGAAAGUCCAGACUUGAUGCAGAACACAUGGGGCAGUUAAAGGCAACAGCAGAGGAAGAAGAAACAUAAACCUGGCCUGGACCUUCCCUUCACAGUGAAGAAGCAGCCCAGGAAGUUUAAAGAGAUUCUCAAAGUCACCGUCAAGUUGCUAAGGACUUUGGUGGCCCUGCAUCCCAAUCAGGGGCUCCUUCCAUAUCGGUUUUCCUGAAGUUUUCUCCAGCCUCUUCAGGUGGGCUAAGAAAAGACUGUUUCCAGAACUGGCUAUAAGACACAAGCUUCAUUCAUGUCACGGAAGGUGUAAGACAUAAACUUCAUGUCAUGGAAUCUUGAACAGUAAUAACUGAGGAGGUAGCUCAUCUAAGCUCCUUUGGCUGUUGGGAGU
This is a non-coding RNA of Microcebus murinus (gray mouse lemur), 711 nucleotides long. Lineage: Eukaryota; Metazoa; Chordata; Mammalia; Primates; Cheirogaleidae. The record is from RefSeq and is a predicted model, not a curated record.